UAGAGUUUGAUCCUGGCUCAGGAUGAACGCUAGCGGCAGGCUUAACACAUGCAAGUCGAGGGGCAGCAUGAUAUUAGUUUACUAAUAUUGAUGGCGACCGGCGCAAGGGUGAGUAACGCGUGAGCAACAUGCCCGUAUCAGGGGAAUAACCCGAAGAAAUUCGGACUAAUACCGCAUAAUAUUUUAGAUAGGCAUCUAUUUAUAAUUAAAGAUUUAUCGGAUACGGAUUGGCUCGCGUGACAUUAGCUAGAUGGUAGGGUAACGGCCUACCAUGGCGACGAUGUCUAGGGGUUCUGAGAGGAAGGUCCCCCACACUGGAACUGAGACACGGUCCAGACUCCUACGGGAGGCAGCAGUGAGGAAUAUUGGUCAAUGGACGCAAGUCUGAACCAGCCAUGCCGCGUGAAGGUAACGGCCCUAUGGGUCUUCUACUUCUUUUGUAAGGGAGCAAUAAGUCCUACGAGUAGGAUGAUGAGAGUACCUUACGAAUAAGCGCCGGCUAACUCCGUGCCAGCAGCCGCGGUAAUACGGAGGGUGCAAGCGUUAUCCGGAUUUAUUGGGUUUAAAGGGUGCGUAGGCGGAAUUGUAAGUCAGUGGUGAAAUGUAACAGCUUAACUGUUAAACUGCCAUUGAUACUGCAGUUCUAGAAUACGGUUGCCGUGGGAGGAAUGUGUAGUGUAGCGGUGAAAUGCAUAGAUAUUACACAGAACACCGAUUGCGAAGGCAUCUCACGAAGCCGUCAUUGACGCUGAGGCACGAAAGUGUGGGUAGCAAACAGGAUUAGAUACCCUGGUAGUCCACACCGUAAACGAUGAUAACUAGUUGUUAGCGAUAUACCGUUAGUGACUAAGCGAAAGCGAUAAGUUAUCCACCUGGGGAGUACGUUCGCAAGAAUGAAACUCAAAGGAAUUGACGGGGGCCCGCACAAGCGGAGGAACAUGUGGUUUAAUUCGAUGAUACGCGAGGAACCUUACCCGGGCUCGAACGGUAUGUGAACGAUUCAGAGAUGAUGAGGUCCUUCGGGACACAUAUCGAGGUGCUGCAUGGUUGUCGUCAGCUCGUGCCGUGAGGUGUCGGCUUAAGUGCCAUAACGAGCGCAACCCUUGUCGAUAGUUGCCAUCAGGUUAAGCUGGGGACUCUAUCGAGACUGCCACCGUAAGGUGUGAGGAAGGGGGGGAUGACGUCAAAUCAGCACGGCCCUUAUGUCCGGGGCGACACACGUGUUACAAUGGUGACUACAGAGGGUAGCUAUGUAGCGAUACAAUGCCAAUCUCAAAAAGUCAUCUCAGUUCGGAUCGGAGUCUGCAACUCGACUCCGUGAAGUUGGAUUCGCUAGUAAUCGCGCAUCAGCCAUGGCGCGGUGAAUACGUUCCCGGGCCUUGUACACACCGCCCGUCAAGCCAUGGAAGCUGGGGGUGCCUGAAGUUCGAGACCGCAAGGAUCGACCUAGGGCAAAACUGGUAACUGGGGCUAAGUCGUAACAAGGCCGUAA
This 1492-nucleotide ribosomal RNA is filed under the name uncultured bacterium. Its description in RNAcentral is "bacterial SSU rRNA". It matches the Rfam family "Bacterial small subunit ribosomal RNA". The record is from RNAcentral.